Molecule: ribosomal RNA, 497 nt
Filed under: uncultured bacterium
Lineage: Bacteria
Description: partial 16S ribosomal RNA
Rfam family: Bacterial small subunit ribosomal RNA
Source: RNAcentral
GACGAACGCUGGCGGCGUGCCUAAUACAUGCAAGUUGAGCGCUGAAGGUUGGUACUUGUACCGACUGGAUGAGCAGCGAACGGGUGAGUAACGCGUGGGGAAUCUGCCUUUGAGCGGGGGACAACAUUUGGAAACGAAUGCUAAUACCGCAUAAAAACUUUAAACACAAGUUUUAAGUUUGAAAGAUGCAAUUGCAUCACUCAAAGAUGAUCCCGCGUUGUAUUAGCUAGUUGGUGAGGUAAAGGCUCACCAAGGCGAUGAUACAUAGCCGACCUGAGAGGGUGAUCGGCCACAUUGGGACUGAGACACGGCCCAAACUCCUACGGGAGGCAGCAGUAGGGAAUCUUCGGCAAGGGACGAAAGUCUGACCGAGCAACGCCGCGUGAGUGAAGAAGGUUUUCGGACCGGAAAACUCUGUUGGUAGAGAAGAACGUUGGUGAGAGUGGAAAGCUCAUCAAGUGACGGUAACUACCCAGAAAGGGACGGCUAACUACGUG